CUGGCACUCAGCAUUUUCUGACUAUAUGAUCACGAGGUACUGGCCAGACACUGAAGCAAUUUAAUACCUGUAGGUGCAUCGGUUCCCUGGACCUAGAUCCUAGUUCUAGAUGUUGACUGACUGAGCAAAGAACAAUUAAUAGUCAUUCCCCCUCUCUGAAAAUCAAAAAAUGUAUCAGAAGGAAUAAAAACCCUUCCUGGCUAUUGCAGCUAAUUAAUAAACAUCUUCUAAUAGGAUAAAUAAAAUAUAAAUACAGCAGAAAUACACAUUCAAAUGAAAUAGUUUAAGAAUUGAGAAAAAGAGCUGCUCUGCUGUCCUUAACUCUUAAAAUGAGGCUUUCAAGACUUUUAAGCAGCUGGUGACCAGAUAAUUCAGAUAUUUGCAGGCAGAAUUGCACACAGAAGUGAAGAGGAAUCUACUGCAAAGGCCUGAGCAACUGCAGCCUGUGGUGAUUCAUCCUACCCACAAGGCAAGCAGCUGUUUUCAGCAGAAUCUGCAGCUUUUGGGUGGACUCACUGGCCUGGUAUCCUUUCUCCUGCAAUGCUAUUAAAGUGAGUGGAAUUACAUAUGGGAUGAACUUGGCUCUUUAGGUGUGGGAGAAACCAUUUCCAGUACUGACAUAUGGAUAUUAGCACUUCUUUAUGCAGGGCUUACAGACAGGCUUUAGGAAUGUUUACAAGGUGGGAAGGACAAUGAAAGAACAUGUAAAAUCAUUUCACCCUGAUUCAUCUUUGGAAGGGACUUUGCAUGUGGAUCUCUCUCUUUUCAGCUGGCUGUUUCUGCCAGAACCCGUUCUUCCAAUUCUGAACCUCGUAUCCCUCCCACAGCAAGGAAUUUGGGCUCUGUCCAGUGGAAGACUGGGAAGAAUAUAUACAUUUCCUCCACACUCCCACAUGCUCCUAGUCUUGGGGACUAAGGAUAACACUGCUGAAAAGUGCAUGUGAAUGGAGAAAAAGUUCUCAGGAGCUGGUAUGAAACAGGACACCAGCAAAUCCUUGACAUGGGCUUUGCCCCAGUUCUAGGAACAAAAGCUCUCUCUCUCUUUUUAUUUUUUUUUAUUUUUUUAUUUUUUUUCCUGGCAAUCAAAGGAUGGCAAAUGUAUCCCACUUGUGGAAGGACUUUAAGCAAGUCAGGCCAGUCUCCCAUCAGCCACUGUGCCCAUACUACCCAACAAGAUAAUACAUCUCGUGAGUCCAUUUAAAUUGAGACAAUGAACUGAGUCAAGUACCGUAUUUUUAUACCUAGGGGACCAAUUGUCUUUCAAGGCUGCAGAAUUUUAAGAGCCAUAGCAGAGUUACACAGCUACUUGAACCAACAACUUUCUUUCACAGAUACAACAAUGCAAACAAGCUAUUUAUUGGACAGAGGAGCUGGCUGGACCAUAAAACUGCUCCCAGAAUACACCUCAUUUAACACAUUUGCUUCUUUUGCCAUAGGUUCGCUGCAAUCGAGAAGGCUGGUAUUGUGGUGAAGAGGUUUUAUUCAAACUUAUUUUACACUUUCACUCAUUAUAAAUGUAAGAUGUUUGCCAUUUCUGUGGUGUUAUAUCAUACACAUAGAAAAAUAGGGUGUGGGAAGGUCUCAACUGUUAAUGAUACAAAGGUACAGGGUCAUUCCUCAAUUAGAAGUUUUGCUUUGACAUAGAUGUGCAAACCAUUAUGCUUAACCUCACAGCAGAAUUUGGCCAGACAUUCUCAGAAAUUUGUCACAAUUAGUCUUAGUGUGUGAGGCACAGAAAACAUCUGGAUAUAUGGGAACAAUUUCAGAACAUUAUUCUCUUCUGGCAUUCAUAUUUUUCUGUUGCUGAUUGAGUUAAUGAUUUUCUGCUAAUGCAUCUUCAGAUACCAAUGCUGAUACACGAGUUCAGGACAGAUGGGCUAACUGCUUGGUUUGAAUCUUGAAAAUGAAGUAUCAAGAUUGAAAACAACAUGAAAGUGCUUAAUUUUUGUAUGCCUAAAUAUAUCACUGAAAACAGGUAAGGGGGUGAUCUUUCUGAAGCAGCAGUGGGGAGCUUGUGAUCUGAGUGAUCACCUGUGAGUUACGGUUCACAGGCUUUAUGUCUAGUUUUGCAACUGACACCUGAAUAAACUUGGCUACAUCAUUAGCCUCUUUUUACACAAAUCAUCCUUUAAGUGACACUAAUCUUUACAGUCUUCACAUGGUUCCUUCCUGAAACUUAAUUCAUUAAUGUUCAUGAAAUAUAAUGAGACACUCAGACAAAAUGUAUGAGGUAUGUGAAGACUAUAUACGGGUUGCUGUACCAUAGCAAUUCUGCAGGGGCCUUUUAAAAAAGAAACAAACUCCUGUAUUUCACAUACUAUUUUGGUUCCUGAAACACUCCCAGGCCAACUGAGGUAAGAGCAAACCUCAGGUUUGUUUACAUUUAUGCACAGGCACCUACAGAUAGAUACAUGCACAGGAAGUAACAGUCAUAAGUACGAUCGUGCUAAUUUUCCCCAUUAAGAGAGGAAGAUGAAAAGGGACAGAAUGGUGCUUGGCAAUGCAGGAAUGCUUACUCUUGACUUUUAUUUCAUUCCAGAACAGUUCAUCAGUGCAAACACUUCACCCUUGCACUUCAAGCAAGGUCACUGAGACACUCAGUGAUGUGUUGAACAAGACCAACUCAAGCUAUCAUCAGUUGAGGCAGCUUUACUUUAUGUGUAAAGUAGAACAUGGAGUGUAUCCAGAUGUUCAAUUACCUAUGAGAGUACUCAAGGAAACACAGGUAUGUUGUAUGCCAGUACUGAAUCAGUUUAAUUGAAAAAAUAAUAUGUGAUGUGUACAGUAAGGGAAUUUUAAAUGAACUCCCUAGCAUAUUCAUGGUUAAAUACAACGGUUUCGCUUUCUAAUAGGAUAUAACACAGUGUUACUAAAUGAUUCCUACUAAAAAAACAAUGAACUUAAUACUCAUAUCAGAGCAUUGCAGGGAGCCAGGCACAUAUCACAGAUUAUACUGGAGAGGACAGCAGGCUGCACUGUCACCCACCAAAGCCCCAUCUCCAGUCAUUUUGUUCUUUUGGUGAUGGUGAAGUUCUUAUGCCCAUGGAAACGUGCCACUAGCAAGAACAACCUGAUUUUAGGCAGUGACUUGUCAUGUCUGAUUGAUGCUUAGGACUAGCAGGCGUUACAUGGCAGUAAAAAUCUCUGCUGUGCUAAGCACACAUAUGCAUAUAUAGGCACAGUGGAAGCUUAUCUCAAAGCUCCUGGAACUACUGUCACUGCCUUUAUUGUUCUGCUUACAUAGCACAGAGCUGCACUGAUAAAGAUCCAGGUAGGACAGAUGUAAAAUUGACAGAUGAAGUAUUUUCUCUAAUAAUCUGGACCUAAAUGUUAAAAUUUCCUCCACAUUUAUCAGUCUUCUAGCACAUACUGGCAAUAGGCUCCCUCAUCCUUCUAAAUGGUCAUAAAUAGCUCUCAGGUUCACUGCAUACCAGUCUUUGUGCAUUGGUGUUAUUGAUAGUAGGGCUGCCAUCAGCUGGUUUUGAACCCCUAAAAUUUCAGCCUGGAGAGGUGUCUGCUGUAGUUAAGGAAGUUCCUAAACUGCGGAAAGCUUGAGAGGUUAUAGGAGAAGGAACAUUAUCAGAUAUUUGUCCUGUUUUUAAUGCUUUUCCCCAAACAUACCCUACUAAUUCCUCAGAGGGAGUUUGGGCUAGAUAAUUCUUAUCUCUGGCUAAAGAAGUUUUUUUUGUAUGGACUUCUUUUAUUCAUAGUUAUUGAAUCACCCUUUAGCCCUGAUUCUAUAAAAAGCCAACCCUAGCCACCAUCCCCCAAGUAAUAACAGUGCAGGCA
Molecule: long non-coding RNA, 3789 nt
Organism: Anas platyrhynchos (mallard)
Lineage: Eukaryota; Metazoa; Chordata; Aves; Anseriformes; Anatidae
Source: RefSeq, a predicted model, not a curated record